CACUCCAACCCCUGUGACAUACCUAUACGUUGCCUCGGCGGAUCAGCCCGCGCCCUGUAAAAAGGGACGGCCCGCCCGAGGACCCUAAACUCUGUUUUUAGUGGAACUUCUGAGUAAAACAAACAAAUAAAUCAAAACUUUCAACAACGGAUCUCUUGGUUCUGGCAUCGAUGAAGAACGCAGCAAAAUGCGAUAAGUAAUGUGAAUUGCAGAAUUCAGUGAAUCAUCGAAUCUUUGAACGCACAUUGCGCCCGCCAGUAUUCUGGCGGGCAUGCCUGUUCGAGCGUCAUUUCAACCCUCAAGCUCAGCUUGGUGUUGGGACUCGCGGUAACCCGCGUUCCCCAAAUCGAUUGGCGGUCACGUCGAGCUUCCAUAGCGUAGUAAUCAUACACCUCGUUACUGGUAAUCGUCGCGGCCACGCCGUAAAACCCCAACUUCUGAAUGUUGACCUCGGAUCAGGUAGGAAUACCCGCUGAACUUAAGCAUAUCAAUAAGCGGAGGA
This 502-nucleotide ribosomal RNA is filed under the name Fusarium chlamydosporum. Its description in RNAcentral is "eukaryotic LSU rRNA". The stretch from base 136 to 289 matches the Rfam family "5.8S ribosomal RNA". The record is from RNAcentral. Lineage: Eukaryota; Fungi; Ascomycota; Sordariomycetes; Hypocreales; Nectriaceae.